This 456-nucleotide ribosomal RNA is filed under the name uncultured bacterium. RNAcentral's name for it is "bacterial SSU rRNA". It matches the Rfam family "Bacterial small subunit ribosomal RNA", at positions 434 to 883 of the family's 1533-position model. The record is from RNAcentral.
GUUGUUGGGGACGCAGGGCGAGGGGUUAAUAGCCCCGAGCUUGACGGUACCCUUCGAGGAAGCCCCGGCUAACUACGUGCCAGCAGCCGCGGUAAUACGUAGGGGGCGAGCGUUGUCCGGAAUUAUUGGGCGUAAAGAGCGUGUAGGCGGUUCGGUAAGUCUGCUGUGAAAACCCGGGGCUCAACCCCGGGCGUGCAGUGGAUACUGCCGGGCUAGAGGGUGGUAGAGGCGAGUGGAAUUCCCAGUGUAGCGGUGAAAUGCGCAGAUAUUGGGAGGAACACCGGUAGCGAAGGCGGCUCGCUGGGCCAUACCUGACGCUGAGACGCGAAAGCUAGGGGAGCGAACAGGAUUAGAUACCCUGGUAGUCCUAGCCGUAAACGAUGAACACUAGGUGUGGGCGGAGUCGAAUCUGUCCGUGCCGAAGCCAACGCGAUAAGUGUUCCGCCUGGGGAGUAC